AUUGAACGCUGGCGGCAUGCCUUACACAUGCAAGUCGAACGGCAGCACGGGAGCAAUCCUGGUGGCGAGUGGCGAACGGGUGAGUAAUAUAUCGGAACGUGCCCAGUAGUGGGGGGAUAGCCCGGCGAAAGCCGGAUUAAUACCGCAUACGACCUGUGGGUGAAAGCGGGGGAUCGCAAGACCUCGCGCUAUUGGAGCGGCCGAUAUCAGAUUAGCUAGUUGGUGAGGUAAUGGCUCACCAAGGCGACGAUCCGUAGCUGGUCUGAGAGGACGAUCAGCCACACUGGGACUGAGACACGGCCCAGACUCCUACGGGAGGCAGCAGUGGGGAAUAUUGCACAAUGGGCGAAAGCCUGAUGCAGCAAUGCCGCGUGUGUGAAGAAGGCCUGCGGGUUGUAAAGCACUUCGGUAGGGAAGAUAAUGACGGUACCUACAGAAGAAGCACCGGGCUAACUCCGUGCCAGCAGCCGCGGUAAU
RNAcentral lists this ribosomal RNA (477 nucleotides) under uncultured bacterium. Its description in RNAcentral is "bacterial SSU rRNA". It matches the Rfam family "Bacterial small subunit ribosomal RNA", at positions 29 to 524 of the family's 1533-position model. The record is from RNAcentral.